CAGCAGCCGCGGGAAUACAGAGGGUGCAAGCGUUAAUCUGAAUUACUGGGCGUAAAGUGCGCGUAGGUGGUUUGUUAAGUUGGAUGUGAAAUCCCCGGGCUCAACCUGGGAACUUCAUCCAAAACUGGCAAGCUAGAGUAUGGUAGAGGGUGGUGGAAUUUCCUGUGUAGCGGUGAAAUGCGUAGAUAUAGGAAGGAACACCAGUGGCGAAGGCGACCACCUGGACUGAUACUGACACUGAGGUGCGAAAGCGUGGGGAGCAAACAGGAUUAGAUACCCCCGUAGUCCCUGUCUCUUAUAC
Molecule: ribosomal RNA, 301 nt
Filed under: uncultured bacterium
Lineage: Bacteria
Description: partial 16S ribosomal RNA
Rfam family: Bacterial small subunit ribosomal RNA
Source: RNAcentral